UACGAAGGGUGCAAGCGUUACUCGGAAUUACUGGGCGUAAAGCGUGCGUAGGUGGUUCGUUAAGUCUGAUGUGAAAGCCCUGGGCUCAACCUGGGAAUUGCAUUGGAUACUGGCGGGCUAGAGUACGGUAGAGGGUGGCGGAAUUCCUGGUGUAGCAGUGAAAUGCGUAGAUAUCAGGAGGAACAUCCGUGGCGAAGGCGGCCACCUGGACCAGUACUGACACUGAGGCACGAAAGCGUGGGGAGCAAACAGGAUUAGAUACCCGGGUAGU
This 271-nucleotide ribosomal RNA is filed under the name uncultured prokaryote. Its description in RNAcentral is "partial 16S ribosomal RNA". It matches the Rfam family "Bacterial small subunit ribosomal RNA", at positions 524 to 794 of the family's 1533-position model. The record is from RNAcentral.